AAAAUGCUCCUAUAUCAACGUACCUUACAUGUCAAGAUCCAUGUAAGGACCUUACCCCCUUUAUCUUCCUCCUUAAAAAAGCUGAAAUAAUAUGAUGCUAAACAAUAUAAAAUUAGCUUAAAAUUUUAGUUUCAUUGAAAUCAAGAAACCAAUCAAAGCUGUAAAUGACCAUCAAGAAGGAAAAUUUGGCUGGCCUUAAUCUAUUCUCCAUCAAAAGAGAAAAAUAUAAUUAACCACUUGAAAUGAAACCCAACAAAUCAUCCCCACACUUGAGAACAAAAAAAAAAGAAAGAAAACAAGAAAAACCUUUCGUGAAUGCCUAGCAAAUCCCACACAAGCAACCAAAUAAACAAGUAAUUCAUCAAAAAAAAAAGGAUACUAUUACUAGCCAACUAGUAAACCUUUCUAAUUAAAGAAAAG
This 420-nucleotide long non-coding RNA is filed under the name Gossypium raimondii (Peruvian cotton). RNAcentral describes it as "long non-coding RNA (GRAI_LNC008536)". Lineage: Eukaryota; Viridiplantae; Streptophyta; Magnoliopsida; Malvales; Malvaceae. The record is from RNAcentral.